AGCUGAAUAACUGUUCAUAUGGCUAUGC
Molecule: small RNA, 28 nt
Filed under: Bombyx mori (domestic silkworm)
Lineage: Eukaryota; Metazoa; Arthropoda; Insecta; Lepidoptera; Bombycidae
Description: ovarian small RNA-2523
Source: RNAcentral